Molecule: ribosomal RNA, 465 nt
Filed under: Vreelandella stevensii
Lineage: Bacteria; Pseudomonadati; Pseudomonadota; Gammaproteobacteria; Oceanospirillales; Halomonadaceae
Description: partial 16S ribosomal RNA
Rfam family: Bacterial small subunit ribosomal RNA
Source: RNAcentral
CCUACUGGAGGCAGCAGUGGGGAAUAUUGGACAAUGGGGGGAACCCUGAUCCAGCCAUGCCGCGUGUGUGAAGAAGGCCCUCGGGUUGUAAAGCACUUUCAGUGAGGAAGAACGCCUGGUGGUUAAUACCCAUCAGGAAAGACAUCACUCACAGAAGAAGCACCGGCUAACUCCGUGCCAGCAGCCGCGGUAAUACGGAGGGUGCGAGCGUUAAUCGGAAUUACUGGGCGUAAAGCGCGCGUAGGUGGCUUGAUAAGCCGGUUGUGAAAGCCCCGGGCUCAACCUGGGAACGGCAUCCGGAACUGUCAAGCUAGAGUGCAGGAGAGGAAGGUAGAAUUCCCGGUGUAGCGGUGAAAUGCGUAGAGAUCGGGAGGAAUACCAGUGGCGAAGGCGGCCUUCUGGACUGACACUGACACUGAGGUGCGAAAGCGUGGGUAGCAAACAGGAUUAGAUACCCGAGUAGUC